UACGUAGGGGGCAAGCGUUGUCCGGAUUUAUUGGGCGUAAAGAGCGCGUAGGCGGCCAGGUAAGUCCGACGUGAAAUCUGGAGGCUCAACCUCCAGCGGUCGUUGGAAACUACCUGGCUAGAGUCCGGAAGAGGAGAGUGGAAUUCCUGGUGUAGCGGUGAAAUGCGCAGAUAUCAGGAAGAACACCAAUGGCGAAAGCAGCUCUCUGGGACGGUACUGACGCUGAGGCGCGAAAGCGUGGGGAGCGAACAGGAUUAGAAACCCCCGUAGUCC
RNAcentral lists this ribosomal RNA (273 nucleotides) under uncultured bacterium. RNAcentral's name for it is "partial 16S ribosomal RNA". It matches the Rfam family "Bacterial small subunit ribosomal RNA", at positions 524 to 796 of the family's 1533-position model. The record is from RNAcentral.